RNAcentral lists this long non-coding RNA (2360 nucleotides) under Pelobates cultripes (western spadefoot toad). The record is from RNAcentral. Lineage: Eukaryota; Metazoa; Chordata; Amphibia; Anura; Pelobatidae.
GAUAAAAUAGCACAGCGUGGAAAAUAAAACCAACCCAAUUUGACUUUUAUCAUUUAUCAUAAUCACAGCCUAAAUUGGAGGAUAAGGCUGAUCAUUCUGUCCCUUUAGUGAAUCAAUGUAUCAGGCUUGUAACAGGACAGCCUUAUUUCUAGAGUUCCCAGAUAUUAAACAAUGGAAAGUAAAAGCAGUUUAAUUGUCUGAAAGUAUUAAGACUUCACUACAAAGCGAUCUGGACCAGGACUGGGAUUUUAAUUGUGUUCUAGAAAGUGAUAGUACAAACAAUGUGUUAUUCUCCUUGAAUGAGCAAGUCUGAAAAAGGCAUUAAAGGGACACUAUAGGCUGCUUGAUGUAGUUGUUCUGGUGAGUAUAGUCAGUCCAUGCAGGCAUUUUCAGAGAAAAGGCAGUGUUUACAUUGCUUGCCUGGGACACCUCCAGUGGAAAUCACUCAGCUGUCCACUAGAGGUGCUUCCUAGUCCAGUGCUGCACAUUGUGCAGCACUGACUUUCACAUUGGAGACACUCAACGCUCCUCAUAAAGUUGCAUUGACUCAAUGCAUCUCUAUGAGGAGAUGCUGAUUGGCCAUACUGGCUGAGAUUGUCAAUUCUGAUGAUGUCAGCCAAGGAGAUGGAUCGGGGGCAGGGCAAGUGCUGAAUAAAGGUGAGUUUUUAUCUUAUUUAAGGAGGCAAGAGUGGUCGGCUACCUACAUAGUUAGUUUAACACUAUAGGGUCAGGAAUACACGUUCGUAUUCCUGACCCUAUAGUGUUCCUUUAAAGUCAAUAUUUUCGUGGCUUUCCUAUUUUGGUGUUUAUACUCCCGCCAGCCAGUGUUCGUACUUCUGACGCUCGGCAAACCGUAGCUGCUCUGCUCCUGUCUCUUGACAGUUAUUGAUUUAUGUUCAGAAUCCUCUUGAUGGCUGGCGAGAGCAUAAUUAACAAGUACUUCUCUUUGUAUUAAUCCCCAAAUAACCCCCGAUUUCCAUUAAAGCUAUUGACGAUUUGCUUAAAGGCGAUUAAAUCACUCCAUUAACUUUUAUAUGGAGAUAGUACGGCAGUUUCUUUCAUCAUCCGGGCAUAAAAAUGUGGCUGUUGUGACACCAUCUCUGAUGAAAUUCUGGAAUAAAAUGUGAAAGCUGGGUCAUGUCCUUCAUCAGCAAGCAACAUGCGUGAGGGCAAUGCAGGGGGCCACGUAUUUUACACUGCCAUACCACCAGGGUGGUCUUUUCUCCAUUUUUAUGUAAGAUACAGUCUAGGAACAAGAGAGAACAAUAUAUUUAACCUGGAAAAUAAAUCGCUUAAUGCUUACAAUAAAGGGUGGCAGGUCAGGUGAAUGUGGUCCUGGAGAUUAAAAUGACGAGUAUCAUUACUGCGCCAGAUACUGUAAUGAUGUGGGGUACUCUCUGACGGAGCUUUAGUGUUAGGUGGGCUGAACGUUAGGGGGCUUUCUGGAGGGAUGCUGUGGAUUGUAACUCGGGUUACAAUCCACUUGGUUUGACUGAGAAUCAUGGGUUGUACAUUUUAAAUAUGGCUGUGGCGAUGUAUUUAUGAAUAUAGCAGUAUUAGGGAUGGUUACCUUUAACACUGAUUCAGCUGCAGUAUUUUAGCUGUAUUUCUCUGUCUGUGGGAAGGAGUUGGGAGUAGAUUAGCGCAGAGCAGGGUUAGGACCGCAGCGAUGAGAGACAGUUGUCAGAAGAUAUUAGCUGCGAUUGUUCUCAGCCUGUUUCCAAUGAAAGAAUAAAAUGUUUCGCUGACAAUGUAAGAAAUUAUGGCACAGCUCGAUGUUUACAGAAUGACACAAGUGAGAAUAAUCAGACAAUGAAAUUCCCUUCACGCCGUCAGAGAACUUGUCACGCAAAUAUAUAUUCCAUCCAUGUGUGUUCUGAAAACAGCAAGAUGUAACUACAAUCAACUAGCAGCGAAUCGGCGUACACAGACAGUGCCUAAACCAACGCUUUUACUCACUAAAUGCUGAAUUGUGGGGAAAUUAGAAGAUAAUGGGAACAUUUAGGCUAAUAGUGAAACUCAGUUAUUGUCACCAAAUGUAAAUAUCUGGGGUGCCAAUGUUGAAGAGGAGCUGUCCCUCCCCAGGAUUUGAUUUAAUAAAUAUGUAUUUGCAGGAUGUUAGAAAUAAAAUUAAUGAAAUGCAGAAACCCACCCCUCUUUAUCCUGUAACUGGGCACCUCCAUCUUGGCUCCCUGUCAAUCAUUGUUAUAAGCUCCGCCCUUUACACCUGGCAGUCAGCAUUGAGAGAGCAUACGGAGAAGAUGAGAAAUUAAAUGAAGGUCACGUGUUAUUAUUAUCAUUUAUAUAGUGCCAACGCAUACCGCAGCGCUUUACAAUAAUACAUUGGUUAUAUAAAAAAA